UCUCUCGACUGGUCGUAGCCAUGUCGGUAUAAUUCUAAUCUGACUUUGGUUAUUUUGGUAUUUUACCUUUCUUAGUUGAUAUCAAGUUGGCAAAUUAGCCAGCCAUUUGAACGAAAAGCUAACUAUGGGGGCGGCGCAGCUUUUGUGGAGGAAAUCUACAUGGCUGGCGCUAGCCUCCUGUUGAAGUAGAUAGGUCGAUUCUGUGGGAG
Molecule: long non-coding RNA, 209 nt
Filed under: Elaeis guineensis (African oil palm)
Lineage: Eukaryota; Viridiplantae; Streptophyta; Magnoliopsida; Arecales; Arecaceae
Description: long non-coding RNA (EGUI_LNC065220)
Source: RNAcentral